GAUAGAUGGCCGAGUGGUCGAAGGCGCACGAUUGGAAAUCGUGUGUACCUCCAAAGGGUACCGAGGGUUCGAAUCCCUCUCUAUCC
RNAcentral lists this transfer RNA (86 nucleotides) under bovine gut metagenome. It matches the Rfam family "tRNA". Rfam says of the family: Transfer RNA (tRNA) molecules are approximately 80 nucleotides in length. Their secondary structure includes four short double-helical elements and three loops (D, anti-codon, and T loops). Further hydrogen bonds mediate the characteristic L-shaped molecular structure. tRNAs have two regions of fundamental functional importance: the anti-codon, which is responsible for specific mRNA codon recognition, and the 3' end, to which the tRNAs corresponding amino acid is attached (by aminoacyl-tRNA synthetases). tRNAs cope with the degeneracy of the genetic code in two manners: having more than one tRNA (with a specific anti-codon) for a particular amino acid; and 'wobble' base-pairing, i.e. permitting non-standard base-pairing at the 3rd anti-codon position. The record is from RNAcentral.